UACGGAGGGUGCAAGCGUUGUCCGGAUUUAUUGGGUUUAAAGGGUACGUAGGCGGGCGUCUAAGUCAGUGGUGAAAGCCUACAGCUCAACUGUGGAAUUGCCAUUGAUACUGGACGUCUUGAGUAUAGUAGAGGUGGGCAGAAUUCAUGGUGUAGCGGUGAAAUGCAUAGAUACCAUGAGGAAUACCGAUAGGGAAGCCAGCUCACUGGACUAUUACUGACGCUAAGGUACGAAAGCGUGGGGAGCGAACAGG
RNAcentral lists this unclassified non-coding RNA (253 nucleotides) under uncultured Cyclobacteriaceae bacterium. RNAcentral describes it as "contains 16S-23S intergenic spacer region". It matches the Rfam family "Bacterial small subunit ribosomal RNA", at positions 524 to 776 of the family's 1533-position model. Lineage: Bacteria; Pseudomonadati; Bacteroidota; Cytophagia; Cytophagales; Cyclobacteriaceae. The record is from RNAcentral.